RNAcentral lists this ribosomal RNA (357 nucleotides) under uncultured bacterium. RNAcentral describes it as "bacterial SSU rRNA". It matches the Rfam family "Bacterial small subunit ribosomal RNA", at positions 8 to 350 of the family's 1533-position model. The record is from RNAcentral.
AGAGUUUGAUCCUGGCUCAGGAUGAACGCUAGCUACAGGCUUAACACAUGCAAGUCGAGGGGUAACGAUAUUGAAAGCUUGCUUUCGAUAGGCGACGACCGGCGCACGGGUGAGUAACGCGUAUCCAACCUGCCCAUAACUAAGGGAUAAUCCGUAGAAAUGCGGUCUAAUACCUUAUGUGUUCCGACGAGGACAUCUGAAUUGGAAUAAAGAUUUAUCGGUUAUGGAUGGGGAUGCGUCUGAUUAGAUUGUUGGCGGGGCAACGGCCCACCAAGUCUACGAUCAGUAGGGGUUCUGAGAGGAAGGUCCCCCACAUUGGAACUGAGCCAGGAUCAAACUCUAAUCGCUAGUGAGNUC